Molecule: ribosomal RNA, 492 nt
Filed under: uncultured bacterium
Lineage: Bacteria
Description: bacterial SSU rRNA
Rfam family: Bacterial small subunit ribosomal RNA
Source: RNAcentral
GAUGAACGCUAGCGGCAGGCUUAACACAUGCAAGUCGAGGGGUAUCACGCUUUCGGGCGUGAGAGACCGGCGCACGGGUGCGUAACGCGUAUGCAAUCUACCUUUUGCAGAGGGAUAGCCCAGAGAAAUUUGGAUUAAUACCUCAUAGUAUAGAACAAUCGCAUGAUUGAGCUAUUAAAGUCACAACGGCAAAAGAUGAGCAUGCGUCCCAUUAGUUAGUUGGUAAGGUAACGGCUUACCAAGACUACGAUGGGUAGGGGUCCUGAGAGGGAGAUCCCCCCACACUGGUACUGAGACACGGACCAGACUCCUACGGGAGGCAGCAGUGAGGAAUAUUGCACAAUGGACGAAAGUCUGAUGCAGCAACGCCGCGUGGAGGAUGACACAUUUCGGUGCGUAAACUCCUUUUAAACUGGGAAGAAAGAAGCCUAUGCGUAGGAAGUUGACGGUACCAGUUGAAUAAGCCAACGGCUAACUACGUGCCAGCAGCCG